GAUGAACGCUGGCGGCGUGCCUAAUACAUGCAAGUCGAGCGAACAGACGAGGAGCCUGCUCCUCUGACGUUAGCGGCGGACGGGUGAGUAACACGUGGAUAACCUACCUAUAAGACUGGGAUAACUUCGGGAAACCGGAGCUAAUACCGGAUAAUAUAUUGAACCGCAUGGUUCAAUAGUGAAAGACGGUUUUGCUGUCACUUAUAGAUGGAUCCGCGCCGCAUUAGCUAGUUGGUAAGGUAACGGCUUACCAAGGCGACGAUGCGUAGCCGACCUGAAAGGGUGAUCGGCCACACUGGAACUGAGACACGGUCCAGACUCCGACGGGAGGCAGCAGUAGGGAAUCUUCCGCAAUGGGCGAAAGCCUGACGGAGCAACGCCGCGUGAGUGAUGAAGGUCUUCGGAUCGUAAAACUCUGUUAUUAGGGAAGAACAAAUGUGUAAGUAACUAUGCACGUCUGGACGGUACCUAAUCAGAAAGCCACGGCUAACUACGU
This 496-nucleotide ribosomal RNA is filed under the name uncultured bacterium. RNAcentral describes it as "partial 16S ribosomal RNA". It matches the Rfam family "Bacterial small subunit ribosomal RNA", at positions 28 to 506 of the family's 1533-position model. The record is from RNAcentral.